Molecule: small nuclear RNA, 73 nt
Organism: Panthera pardus (leopard)
Lineage: Eukaryota; Metazoa; Chordata; Mammalia; Carnivora; Felidae
Source: Ensembl
GUGCUCACUUUCGCAGCACACAGGCUAAAAUUGGAACGACACGGGGAAGGUUAGCGUGGCCCCUGUGUGAGGA